Molecule: ribosomal RNA, 471 nt
Filed under: uncultured organism
Description: partial 16S ribosomal RNA
Rfam family: Bacterial small subunit ribosomal RNA
Source: RNAcentral
UACACUCCUACGGGAGGCAGCAGUGGGGAAUUUUGGACAAUGGGCGAAAGCCUGAUCCAGCAAUGCCGCGUGAGUGAAGAAGGCCUUCGGGUUGUAAAGCUCUUUUGUCAGGGAAGAAACGGUGAAAGCUAAUAUCUUUUGCUAAUGACGGUACCUGAAGAAUAAGCACCGGCUAACUACGUGCCAGCAGCCGCGGUAAUACGUAGGGUGCAAGCGUUAAUCGGAAUUACUGGGCGUAAAGCGUGCGCAGGCGGUUUUGUAAGUCUGAUGUGAAAUCCCCGGGCUCAACCUGGGAAUUGCAUUGGAGACUGCAAGGCUAGAAUCUGGCAGAGGGGGUAGAAUUCCACGUGUAGCAGUGAAAUGCGUAGAUAUGUGGAGGAACACCGAUGGCGAAGGCAGCCCCCUGGGUCAAGAUUGACGCUCAUGCACGAAAGCGUGGGGAGCAAACAGGAUUAGAAACCCCAGUAGUCC